UCUUACAUUGGUUCUCCUAACGACCUACGCCUUGGGUUUUCGGUCUUGAACUUUUGAGCUCGUCUUUGGCUUUUCCAUGCAAUCCAUUCAUCAAUAUACUUCUCGGCAUCUAAUCUUGAUUGUUUGUCAUAUAAUAACGUUGUUUGACACUUGACUUCAUUGUUUGUCAUUCAUCAAAACAUAUACCUGGAAAUCAUGCU
RNAcentral lists this long non-coding RNA (200 nucleotides) under Nicotiana benthamiana. RNAcentral describes it as "long non-coding RNA (NBEN_LNC014063)". The record is from RNAcentral. Lineage: Eukaryota; Viridiplantae; Streptophyta; Magnoliopsida; Solanales; Solanaceae.